ACGCUGGCGGCAGGCCUAACACAUGCAAGUCGAGCGGUAGCACAGGAGAGCUUGCUCUCUGGGUGACGAGCGGCGGACGGGUGAGUAAUGCCUAGGAAUCUGCCUGGUAGUGGGGGAUAACGUUCGGAAACGGACGCUAAUACCGCAUACGUCCUACGGGAGAAAGCAGGGGACCUUCGGGCCUUGCGCUAUCAGAUGAGCCUAGGUCGGAUUAGCUAGUUGGUGAGGUAAUGGCUCACCAAGGCGACGAUCCGUAACUGGUCUGAGAGGAUGAUCAGUCACACUGGAACUGAGACACGGUCCAGACUCCUACGGGAGGCAGCAGUGGGGAAUAUUGGACAAUGGGCGAAAGCCUGAUCCAGCCAUGCCGCGUGUGUGAAGAAGGUCUUCGGAUUGUAAAGCACUUUAAGUUGGGAGGAAGGGUUGUAGAUUAAUACUCUGCAAUUUUGACGUUACCGACAGAAUAAGCACCGGCUAACUCUGUGCCAGCAGCCGCGGUAAUACAGAGGGUGCAAGCGUUAAUCGGAAUUACUGGGCGUAAAGCGCGCGUAGGUGGUUUGUUAAGUUGGAUGUGAAAUCCCCGGGCUCAACCUGGGAACUGCACUCAAAACUGACUGACUAGAGUAUGGUAGAGGGUGGUGGAAUUUCCUGUGUAGCGGUGAAAUGCGUAGAUAUAGGAAGGAACACCAGUGGCGAAGGCGACCACCUGGACUAAUACUGACACUGAGGUGCGAAAGCGUGGGGAGCAAAC
RNAcentral lists this ribosomal RNA (751 nucleotides) under uncultured bacterium. Its description in RNAcentral is "bacterial SSU rRNA". It matches the Rfam family "Bacterial small subunit ribosomal RNA", at positions 33 to 773 of the family's 1533-position model. The record is from RNAcentral.